GCCGUGGUGGUGGAACCGGUAGACACGAGGGACUUAAAAUCCCUUGACCCUAAAAGGUCGUGCGGGUUCGAUUCCCGCCCGCGGUA
This 86-nucleotide transfer RNA is filed under the name Bacteroidota bacterium. RNAcentral describes it as "Bacteroidetes bacterium (activated sludge metagenome) tRNA-Leu". It matches the Rfam family "tRNA". Rfam says of the family: Transfer RNA (tRNA) molecules are approximately 80 nucleotides in length. Their secondary structure includes four short double-helical elements and three loops (D, anti-codon, and T loops). Lineage: Bacteria; Pseudomonadati; Bacteroidota. The record is from RNAcentral.